UCUAUAGGAAGUGAUGCGGUAUUCCUUAGUGAGACUGAGCUGUCCUGCGUCCAUACGUCAUGCUUCUUAUACAUGUAGCUUUUAUUGUGUGUUUACGUAUUUUCUUUAAUGCGAACAUUAAACUUUCACAUAUUUUAUGUUAAUAUUGUAAUCGGAUAUAUUUAAUCCAAUUAUAUUUUUUUAUCAUUAAUAGUCUUAUUGUGGGUGAAAUAAUUCAUGAGCCACUUACGCAGGGUUGCGAGGUGUGGUUUCGAAACAGAAUCUUAAAAGGCAGUUUGCUGGGCUUUGCGCGGUGGAGAAACCAGAAAGAUCCGGCUGUAAGGGUAUUUCUACCUGCGUAUGAUGUGGGCAAGUGCGCAGAAAACGGGCCUUCGAGGAUAAAAAGCCUUGUGAAGGAUUGCCCAACGCGACAGCCUGUGGCGGAGACGGGGAGAGAGAGGAAGGUGGUCGAUCAGAUGCAGUUCAGGCAGUUCAGCACAUUGAAGGGCUGCGUCACAGUGGAUGGAGAGCGCUGUAUCGUGGCAGUGAGGAUAUUAUACGCAGUUUAUAUACCGAGUGUGCGCUUGUGGUUCACAUACGCAUUUCAGAGCCGCGUCCUCAUCCAUCCUGCGCACGCACUGAAAACACUCCGAUGGAGAGAGAAACCAAACAUCAGAAGCACACUGCUUAUAUACGCUUCAAACUCCUUUGAAAUUAUGAAAGCAUCAUCAUCAUCCAAAAGCAGAAACAGGAGACAAGUCUUGAAUAACCACGCAGGCUGGGCCUUGAGGUAAGCUUAUACACACACUGAUUUUAACCCCCAAAAAAACCAUAAUAAAAUGAAAGCACUAAUCUUUACCAUCACUGGGUGUCACUGUUACUGUUCAGCCCCAGUCCUCUCAUGUAGGACUGCGUGCCUUUUCACAUUCGAGCUCUUGCACUCUGCCAGGUCAGUCUGAUACUGGCAUCGUCAUGUUCUGCAUGUAAACUGCGGAGCUCUGUGAGCCACGGGCAACUGAGAAUCAAGAGAAAGUUUUAAAAGUUCAAACCAAAAGAGCACUUCAAUGAGUAAGUACUAACACAUAGAAAUAAGAACAGAUGUGAUACGUAUAAACAUCAGCUUGCAUUUCUAUUAUGAUUCAACAUGCACUUGCGUUCUGAAUUCCACUGCCAUGUGCACAGCUAAUGAUAAAUACGAUGUAGUAAUACAGUACUUAUGAGAGGAGAGAUUUCUACUUUCUGGUUGAUUUGAUGGUUUUAUGUUAAACCAGGUCCUCUGACUUUGCCAAAUUCACCUUCCCUGCCUGAUUUAGUAAGUGCGUCAGCAAAGGACGUUGAGGAAGAGGCUACUAGGGUGCCCAUGUGGUGGUCUUCCCAAAGCGAUCGUGGGUACCAACAAUCUGAACUUUCGGAAACGCGACAGUAAAAAGUGGCCGUUGUGUCCUUCGUCUGUUUGGCGUCUCGGGUGUCGCAAGCACAGGCACUCGAAAUUUGGGAGGACGGGGAAAAAAAAAGCCAGGGUUGCAGAGGCUAGGGAACAUAAGCCUGACUCGUGCGUCACGCGCCAACACUGGGGCUUUCAAAAUGAACGCCGCUCCUCUUCUGCAGGAGAUUAAGGUUUAGGAAGAGGAAUACUGCCGAGAGAUGACACUGCUAAAAUUAACACCCUGCCUAGUGAAUGAUGGAGUAUAAAUAGACAGCAGAAGGAACAGUGUGAAGCAUACUGCAUUAUCACUUGAGCCCCCGCCCUCCAAAAGAAAACUACAGCCUUCAUCACUUAAUACUUGUGAAUGUCUCUUUAAUACUACCUACUGUCGAGGCAUCGCUUAAGGUAUGGAUGAUGACAUUACAUGGCCUAAAAUAGAAACGUCUGUCCUGCAGGCUGUACAAUUUCAGAGCAUAACCACCAGGUUGAAAAUCCAUUCACUUAAAUGUACCCUCUCCUGCCCACUAUUGUUACUCUUGAUACUACUCUUAUCAAUUACUCUUGAUAAUUUAAGCUCCCCCUCCCCCCCCCCCCACUGUGAUGCAGGAUAACCGGCUUUGAUUGCCCGAAUAGUUUGCAUUUCCCAAAGGCUGUCAGUGGCAGAACAGAACAGGUUGGAGGCUGAUUCUUCAGUCAACAAUUUCCCUGCUCCUCCCAUUAGUCAAACACACAAGGCCACUCCAGCAGGCAGCAGUGGGAAUAAAACCACAGCAACGUCAGAGAUUUGUGCCUUUGGGAAUCUUUUUUUUUUUCUCCCAAAACGGAUACACGCUCAUUCUUUCUGCACAUUUUGAACCAGAGCACGCGGCGCCGAAAAACGUUCGUAAUGCCGUUUAGGUUUUUUUUUUUAAUAAAAGGAAAAUAAAGGUGGAAACAUCCGAGCUGGACCUGGCAGCGUCUGUGUUUAAGGAGUGUUACAAGGCCCGGUGUUUGUAAAAAAAACAGCAGCGGACUGGCUUACAGAGGGGAAAAAAGUCCUCCUUCCUGCCACCGGUUAGCGCUAAAGAGUCAGACACUUGUGGUUUGGGAAGCUCAUUGAGAGAGACGGAGCAGCUGUUUCCCGGCUGGCCUAUGAAGGCUGGAAGACGUGCUGCUGCUGUUGCCCAGUCUGUCUGUGAAGGCCCACACAGACGUUGCACUACAGAGAUGCUUCAGUGUUGAACUCGGGCAGCACAGAGUGUGUUUUGUCUAAGCACACAGCAAAUCAGCAUUUUAAAGUCCCAGGGUUUACUCUAGUUACAAUUGAGGGAAAUGGCUCGGUGGCCAGAGAAGCUGUUUGAUGUGGUUUCUGAAAGUGGGGUGAACUAUAACAUACGUCUUUUUACAGUACUUGCAAGGGCCUUAUCCCCAGGUAGUUUCCGACGGAGAGUAGUGGAUUACGAUGCCGAUGUAAAUAAGAGGAAAGUCAGCCGUGUUAACGGCUGCCUUAUCUUUAUUUAUUCUUUUUACUUGAACACCAAGGUGCUGUCAAAUCGGCAAGCAUCACAUCGAAUGCUGAGCGUUUAGCUCCUGUGGCGCACGGAAAAGCAUUCCCAUCCGGUUGCUGGAAGCGUUUCAUUCUUCCGUUUGAUUCUGGAGGCUGCCUUUUUCAUUAUCUCCAUGAAUGCUCACCCCUCCAGUUAAAUUAGGAGCUCUAAUCUGUAAGAAGCUUAGACCUUCUUUGCGGUGGUGUCACCUGCCUCCCAGCAUUCCUGGAGGCACCGGCACGGCUCACCUGACCUUGUGCUUGUCUCCACUGCCUCCAGCCCUUCCCUUCUCCCCCGUCCCCCUCCUCUGUGACUGCCUCUCACUCACAGCCUGCCAGUGCAUUUCAGGACACCAAAACACUGCUGGGGGGGGGGAGAGCUGCAUCAUGGGGCUUUGCAGGGAUGCUCUGAGAGUGAAAGCAUGGCAACAAAAAAGGAAAAGAGAGAAAACGGCCUCGUUCUUUCCUAUGGCUUUUUGCGGCAAAAGCUUUGGCUUGUGCUCGUUAUUCUGCAGAGGACUGCAAACGUGCACCAGAAUGGGGAGGGGGUGGUGGUGGCAUUAUUCAUUGUUGAAGAGUAACAAAACAAUUCAGUCUCUAUUCCCCAGCCAUUCCUUGCGGCGACUGGAAAUUCCCAUUAAAAACUGUGAUUCCCCCCAUAUCACAGGAACAAACUGACCCAGUACCUCCAAAUUCAUUCCACCUGUGCGUGAGCGAGAGGAUCAAAACCCUCACCCCCUCACUGUGCCAGAACCUUUCGUUGCUAAAUUGCUAAGUCAUCCUCAAACGACAGUGCAGUGCUUUCGGCUUCACGGUGUGCUUUUCUCUCAAACACAAACAUUUUCCUCCUGCAUCUAGGCAAAGAAAAUUCACCUUGGGAUGCACAUGAUAAGAAAUCUUGUUGCUGAGGCCACUAUAAAUAGCUGACAGUAAUUUGUACAAUGUGUGGUGGAACCUGCACUGUGCAGCUCAGGACUCAGAAAUUCAAAUGCCUCUUACCUCAUCACCUUUUUUGGAUACUUCUAGAGGAUUAAAGUCUCAUAGACAAACCCCCACAAAGAUGCUGAAAGGACCAGAAAAAUAAGACUAAUUUCUGCCCGCACAAAAAUAUCCCAAGGCUGACACUGUGAAAACGUUGUUUCCUCUCCCUCUUCCUGUCAUACCACACAAAAACAUCUUAGAAAAUCCUCAACCAGCUUUUACUAUUCAGACUUUUUUGUGGGAAAUGUAAAUUUCAGGUCAUUGUGUAUCUUCUUUUACUUCUUAAAUGCAAAAGAUAUCAGCUGAUACCAGACAGCAUUAAUAAUUUCAAUAUUUUUUCACACCCAAUCAGUUUGGUUUUCCCUUUUAAGAGUAUCGGUGAACUUUCAUGGGAUCAAAAUGUGUUCUAAAACGAUAAAAAUAGAUCACGUCUGAGUAGUUUUUCAGGACAGUUCUGUCUUAACUCCUGGGCCUCUUGUAAAAACGCAGACCAAAUAGCUGCAUUCAGCACAUUACUAGGAUACAAUGCUGAUUCCAAUUUACAUAAAAAGAUAAAAAUAUUCUUAGUUAUUUACAGUAAUUAUUCAUAACAGAUAUAUUGCAUCCUUUACUGUACUUUUUCAAAUGUGCUCUAAAACCUGCAUAAAGUCAGAAGCAGAAAUCUGGCGACUUGUGUUGUGCGAAUGUGAGAAGUCAACCAUAGCCAUUUGAUCUCAAUUAUACUAGAUUUCUUACUCAGAGUAUCAGGUUAGAAAAAUCCUUAUAUGGCCAUGUCAGUCUUCAUCCUAAUUAUGUCCCAACUUCACAUCCCUGUCUGUCAAGACUGUGUUCUGCAAACACAGCCAACAGAUAAGCAGACACAUAGGAACUACACCAAUGCGUGCACUGAAAACAACACACUUAUCUCAUCGCAUGUCUUGAAUGAGAAUUUCAAACCCUGCAGUGGGAAACCCUAUGAUAUAUUUAUAUAUGCCAUUUAAAAUCUUAUUCAGUACUUUGGCCGUCUUAUGGGAACCACAAAUGUAGAAUGGGGAUGUGUUUUCUCAUAGUGUGCAGUAUAUGGCUAGACUGAACACUGCUCUUAGUGGUCCACAGUAAUUCUAAAUUAUGCACACAAAGGAUUGAAAGGGUUAACAAUGAAUUUGUGUUCAAUGGAUCUAGCUUUAUCCCAUUAACACUGGGAAGGAGAACAGUGCAAAAGAGUCACUGAAAAAGCCUACCGUACACUCAGAAGGUCAAAGUGGUUUGAACUGGCCAACCUCUAUUCCAGGGUUAGACACUGCUCUGGAGGUCUUGAUCAUAUCUUGUGCAUUAUCUCCGUUUCUCAAAGAACUCCAAUUCCCAUCCACCCUUGAGGUGUCAGGGCCAGUACCAGUGAAAUGAAAGUAAUGUGAAAGAACAUUAGGAGAACAUGAGAGAAAUGGAGUGCUAUUACAAGUUGGUUAUGUCUGAGGUUUUUAAAACUACAGUACUAGCAACAACAUAACUUCCCAUUCUGUCUUUUAAGGCUUGAAAUUACCCCUUGGAAAACAAAGCUGAACGACUAAUGUUAUAUAAUAUUUUCAUCGUAAAAGAACGUGUUUCUACUGAGGAGGCGUAUAAGGCUUUGCAACAUUUUUUUCUGCCCGAUAGUAUUAUAAUUCAUUACAGAUUUGGAAAAGCAGACUUUUAGUUGUUGUCUCAUUGCUGAAAUGUCCCUGCUCAAAACCUGGUAGUAAAUAAAUUCACUAAUACAUUGCUAGGAAUUGUUAGAACAGGGAAAUUGUUGACUGACCGAAUUAAUAAUUCAGUGUCUGAUGCGGUCUUUGGAGUAUUUAUUGUAACCAAGUUCUAUAAUCAUACACAGACCAAAUAAAAUACCAUACUUGAAUUGCUAUUUAAAGGAAGCGUUGUUUGGAAGAAACCGCAGUAAUAUGUGGUCAUAAAACAGAGGUGUGCCAGCUCACUGUUCUAAAAAAAAUACCUGAAAAAGUCCAUAAUAAUAACAGCUUUGUAAGUGGUUAUUGACACUAAAACAGUUUUGGAAGAACAGGUGUCCCAAAACUGUUGAGAAGGAACAGAAGAAGACUUGAUGAGUGAGUUAUGGCAUCUUUUCUGUCCCACGUCUUGCUUAGUUUGGAAUGGGAAAGGGGGAUUGCAUCCACGAAAAGUUUGGCUGAAUAACAAUAACGGGAGCAAUGCAUCCAGGGAUUGUGCUGGGUAGAGAAUAGGCAGCUUCUCUGAAGUUUUGCUUUGCUGCCAUCAUAUCAUCUUAACAUUUUCAUUCACUUCCCUGUUGCAUAGGUAGUGUGCAGAUUGUGAGCAUGUACACAGAUGUUGCACAGCUGGAGAGCAGCUCCUGGUUUGUGUCGAGGGCUGAGGAGGGUUAACAGCAAGCCCAGGUCGAGCCUUCCUUCUCGGUUUUGUUUUGUUUUUUCUGUGUUUUGUUUUUGUUUUGUUACAAAUGGGGACAAUGUGCCUUUAAAACCAGUAGGUUGUCAGGUGACUGAGGAGGCACAGACGGCUCAGUUAGCUUGGAGAAGCCGAGUGCAACUGUGAGCAGUACAGAGAGACAGAUAGAGAGCGAGGGAGAGAAAAAGAAAACGAGACAGAGGGAGAGAGAGAGAGAGAGAGAGAGAGACCUGGUUUAAAGGGUGACACUGAGAGAGGGAGGGAGCGGAGAGAGAGGUGGCUGCGGCCUGUUAACAGAGUAGCUCCGGCUGUGUGUGUCUGUGCGGCAGUGUGCUGCUGGCCUGAGUUUUUCAAGGAGCUGCAGUUGUGUAGCUACAACACUGGGAGAAAGCCUGGAGAAUUAAGUGCUGCGUCACACUAAGGGAGAGAGAUUGUGAGUGUGUGUGUGUGUGUAUCUGUUUGUGUGUGUGUGCGCGUGUGUCGGAGAGAACUGGCUCUGUUGAUGUCUGAAAGAGCAAUACUGCUGUUGCUGCAGCUAGAUGAAAAUAGAGAGAGAUAGAAGGAGAGAGAGAGAAUUUGAAUUAGUCGCUACGUCACUUUUUCACGUCGAGGGGAAAAAGCAGCUAAGAUACCAGGAGCUCGGAGUCCUGUGGCUUUCUACCUGAGAGUGGACGGCACAUAAAAAUAUCUCUUUUUUUGCCUUUUCCUUUUUCGUUCUUUUCUACUUUACUUUUAUUCUGGGUGUUUUACUGUCUCACCGUCGGUCUUACCCACGUCAGGAAUAGCGUUGCGGAGUUGUAAGAAGGAUGCUGAAGAUGUGACGUACUUUACCUCGGUCGGAGGCAAAUGUUGAGGCGCUGGAGGGAAGGGGGCGCGGAACGAAGGGUUAACGCAAGAACGGUUGUUCUGGAAGGUUCUUUUUGAUGAGACGAAGAGCGCAGGGGGAGCAUUAAUCGAGAAUAAUCUAGGUUAUACAGAAUACUAACACUUGUAUUUUACAUUGUACAUAGAGAGUGAUGGGGAAUAGGGAGCAAAUAUACAUAUGUAGGAAAGAAAUCUAUAUAUAGGCAGUUGUCACCUAGAUGAUACAGAGGCACAAGCUAAUGUAUUUCUCCACCUAACCUACUGCUGCCGGCCUGUUAUUUUCCUGUAGGACGUAUAACAGUAUGGUAAGUGAUGAUGUUUUCCUGUAAACAAGGGAUCAUGCAUUGUCUUGUUUUUUCUGAUUUUUCCCUACGAUUAACUCUUUCUGGGACCAACGACUGACUGUAUGGGUGGGGAAGGGCGGCAUUCUGAACAGGGACGUGGGGAGGGUACAUGGGCAUCUUUUCUUUGGCUGCGCACCGAAUCGAAAUCCGGGCGUACCGUAACGAACGCUUUCAGGCGAUCGGUUUUUGCUGUUUCUGACAGAUUCGGGCUGAUCCAGACAUCUCCAGUGUAAUUCAUGAGGUUAUUUAAUCAUCCUGGUCACAGGGAGACUCGGGGCUAUUGUUGCUUCUGCUGCUGCGGGGUUAAAAGAGUUCUAGCUCUGAGAUUUGUUGCUGCGUAGUUAAUGGAAACAGAAGUGGUGACGCAGUGAUCUUUAUUUCUCUGUUUGGAGAGUGAGAGAAGACCGGUUGUCUCUUCCUGUUUCUCCCUGGUUUUCUUGCACUGGUUAAGUGCUGGGGAUUCUGUUUAUGCCUUUGCAAAUUAGUUUGCCCCUGAAAGCAGAACCAGGGGCCUAAAUGUCAUGGCUGUGUAGCAGGAAAGUUGUUUACCUUGCUCUCUUGGUGACUCCAUGUUGGCAGUUUUCCAACUUGCAUGUGAUAGACUUCCUAAUGCAGCUGCAUCAUCAGCUAAGUGGUAGAGCUUGUUUCCCAUUGGACUUUGAGAGGCCCCCAGAGUGUGGAGGCAGUGUGUUCUCAUUGGCUAGACACCAGCAAGCAGGUGGAAGCCUGCUUCUGAUUGGCUGAAGGAGAGAGAUGUCAUGUAUGAAUCUUCUGUGUUGUUGGUGUAAGGAGUUCUUGCUGCAUGUCUCUGUAUAGUAUAUCUCUCCCUGCUUUGACUUUCCUGAUUCAGACGCAAAUGAGCCAAAAAAAAUUUUUUUCUCAUUUUUUCUAUCACAUAUUGAGGCUUAGUUAUGUUCUGUACUGUUAAUGAAUAUUAAACCUGUUCAGGAAUAAAAGCGUGAUGAUUUCUUUAUGAUUCGAUCUAUUAAGAAGGAGCGGCACAGGAGGCAGUCUAUUGUGUUUUGAGUCAUCUUGACUACAACUUGUUUUCCAGUUUACAUACUGAGAAUUGUACAUUAAAGUUACUGCAGCAAGAGCAUCAGACUUCAGUUGUUGAAGAAACAAAACAUUUCAACCAGGGGGCAGAAAUUCAUGUACAGUGAGGUUUAAUUUACUGUCAAGAAUCUGUGUCGUAUCCUGCGCAGCUUUGUAUGUGCCAUACUGUCUGUUGUCUAAGUUGGGAUUCUGUGAUGAUUCUGCAGCUAUUGCUGUGUGUCACGCCAUUCGGCGUGUCUCUUCAUUCACGUAGAGCUUUCCAAGCGCUACUGAGGGUGAUUUUGCUCCUCAGUAAAUGGGGGAUAUUUUAGCACCCCUAAGGACAAAUAGGUGCAUAGUUAUUUUUUGCUUUGUAGGAUGCCUGGUUCCGACUCCGGUCUCUCGUGGCUUUAGAUCCUAUUUUUUUGCGUUGAAAUCAAAUCAAACUGCGCAGCUGGCCCUUUUCAGAAUUCGGGAUUGUGAUGUCACAACCAGCGAGCUCAGGCGAUGAUGUAAGUGGGUAUGCGCCUGCCAAGGAGUUGUUGCUGCAGCAUACGCCACAGACUUGUAUUUAAACAGACGCCCUACGACGGAAGCAGAAGGAACAGGCUGCUCACCUUGCCUCACCUCACAGGAGAGAAGUAACGCAAAACUGAGCUAAAGUUUAACUAUGCCUUACUGCAUUAGACCAAGUUAAUACCUCAGUUGAACUUGAUUCUCCCUGGGACUUUGGCACUGAGAUAAUUGCCCUACAUGAAUGGGCCAGGCUGUAUUAAAUUUCUAGUCAAAGGGCGUUUUUUUUCAAAAUUUCAAGUGCUUAAAACAUGCCUCUGCAACAAACAGGCUGAGAAUUGAUGCUUUCAGAAAAGAAAAAACAACUCUGCAAGUACGUCUAUUGAGAGAAGAAAAUACUGGAAAGAAAAGUACAGACUGUGUGGAUUUGUGGAAUAUCUUGCUUUCAAUGCCUGCAUUAAGUGUCGAGGGAGUUUGGGACUGCAAACAGAGAUCCUUUUAACCUGCUGCCAGCUACUUCAUUUGAAAGCACUUCUCCUAAGAAGCUUACAAAAAUUGAGUGUUUACAAAAUAAAUGGGAGAAGGGGCUUGGGUCUUCUCCUGGAAGCUGGUUUCAGGUGGUGGCUUAGAGUGCUUCAUGUUUUUCAUCUAGCACCAUUUGAAAUCAGUGUUCUUGGAGCAAGAGAGACAUCGCCAGCCAGCCUGCCUGCCUAAAGAGACCAGCCCUGCUGUCACCCACGCAGUGCUGCCCGUCAGGAGGAAAGGAGCUCAUUUUUCCAAAGGAUUACACAGACGUGGGCAGUGGUUGAUUCAUAGCGGACAUGUGACGAUUGUUUUGAUGUCUCUAGUGUUUGAUUCACUCAUUAUUGUGCAAGGAAAAUUUGACUAUGUAUCCUAGCCUAUUGAAUUCAAUGUAUGUAUAGAAUGGAAUAUAUAUAGUAAGCAAACAUGCAUGUUUAUAGACAGCAAAUAGAAACAGUAAAAUGUAUUACUGUGCCAUGAGAAUGCACUGCAGUGCCAUCCGCUGAUGUAUGUUUUCAUCUCGUUUCCAUUUCCAAAGCUAGAGAAAUAUUUAGAACUUAAUGAGAAACAGCACUGGAAUAGCAAAUAGAUCCGUUAUGUGAAGAUCCUGGAGAUCCACAGGUGCUGAGGGAUACUCAAACUCCUCAAAGGCAUUGAAACAGUUGGAAUUAGGACCAUUUAAGUCAGGAAUUUACGUUUAAAGACGUUAAGAACUUAGCUGGAAAGCCAAAAAAAACACUGUGCCUCUGCAGGAAAGAGGACCAGAACCUUGAGAGAAAAACACUAUAAGAAAUGUAUUCUGCACCACAACCAAUAGCAUAGCAUCAGCAUGGAGACUCAUAACCCACAGAGACAAGACUCAACUUCUAAUACGGUGUCCUUCUCCCUGAGGCCUCUUACCAAGGCUGACCGAUUUCUUUUGGUGUUCAGAGUCAUCUUCAGUUUCUAGCACCAUUUGAAAUCGGUUACAAUGUAGGAGGAAGAUCAGCUGAACACUUUUACAAAAGAGGACAAGAAACUUGCCUCCUGUCUCUGGACUUAGAAGAGAGCUUUUGGAGCCAAAGCUUAUUCUGCUGUCACCAUGGUGUGUUCAUUUUCUGUUUUACAAAACCAUUCCCUGCAGUUUUGUUUAAGUUUGUAAUUCUUUAAUAAACGAAGCAGUGCUUUAAUUCUGCUCUCUUCAGAUUCAGCUUCAAAUUAAGCACAAGCCCAGCCGGAGUUGUGGAGCAUUGGCAUGUGCUUUCUGUAUGCAUUUUAAAUAAAGGUGCCACGUGUCAUUGCAAAGCAUAAACACUGAAGUAAGCUCAAAAGAGGGCCACUCUCAAAAGAAAGACCAAGUCUGCAUACUGUGUAUCACUCAUUCACUCCUCUGGAAAUAAACUUUCUUAAGAUGA
This is a non-coding RNA of Lepisosteus oculatus (spotted gar), 10974 nucleotides long. Lineage: Eukaryota; Metazoa; Chordata; Actinopteri; Semionotiformes; Lepisosteidae. The record is from RefSeq and is a predicted model, not a curated record.